ACGCUCGACACCUACGGGAGGCAGCAGUGGGGAAUAUUGCACAAUGGGGGAAACCCUGAUGCAGCGAUGCCGCGUGAAGGAAGAAGUAUCUCGGUAUGUAAACUUCUAUCAGCAGGGAAGAAAAUGACGGUACCUGACUAAGAAGCCCCGGCUAACUACGUGCCAACAGCCGCGGUAAUCUGAGCGGGCUGGCAAGGC
Molecule: ribosomal RNA, 198 nt
Filed under: uncultured bacterium
Lineage: Bacteria
Description: partial 16S ribosomal RNA
Rfam family: Bacterial small subunit ribosomal RNA
Source: RNAcentral